Molecule: ribosomal RNA, 255 nt
Filed under: uncultured bacterium
Lineage: Bacteria
Description: partial 16S ribosomal RNA
Rfam family: Bacterial small subunit ribosomal RNA
Source: RNAcentral
GACGAACCGUGCGAACGUUAUUCGGAAUCAUUGGGCUUAAAGGGCGCGUAGGCGGCGGCGUAAGUUGGAAGUGAAAUCCCAUCGGCUCAACCGUGGAAUUGCUCCCAGUACUGCGUCGCUCGAGGGGGAUAGGGGUCUGCGGAACUACCGGUGGAGCGGUGAAAUGUGUUGAUAUCGGUGGGAACGCCAGUGGCGAAAGCGGCAGGACUGGACCCUUCCUGACGCUGAUGCGCGAAAGCUAGGGGAGCAAACGGG